GAUAAACGCUGGCGGCGUGCCUAAUACAUGCAAGUCGAACGAAUCUUCUUCGGAAGAUGAGUGGCGAACGGGUGAGUAAUACAUAGGUAACCUGCCCCUGUGCGGGGGAUAACAGGAGGAAACUCCUGCUAAUACCGCAUAGCCAUGAGCACCGCAUGGAGCUCAUGCCAAAUAUCCUUUCGGGGAUAGCGCAGGGAUGGACCUAUGGCGCAUUAGCUGGUUGGCGGGGCAACGGCCCACCAAGGCAACGAUGCGUAGCCGGCCUGAGAGGGCGGACGGCCACAUUGGGACUGAGACACGGCCCAGACUCCUACGGGAGGCAGCAGUAGGGAAUUUUCGGCAAUGGGGGAAACCCUGACCGAGCAACGCCGCGUGAGCGAAGAAGGCCUUCGGGUCGUAAAGCUCUGUUGUAAAGGAAGAACGGCGCAUACAGGAAAUGGUAUGCGAGUGACGGUACUUUACCAGAAAGCCACGGCUAACUACGUGCCAGCCGCCGCGGUAA
Molecule: ribosomal RNA, 502 nt
Filed under: uncultured bacterium
Lineage: Bacteria
Description: partial 16S ribosomal RNA
Rfam family: Bacterial small subunit ribosomal RNA
Source: RNAcentral